Molecule: small nucleolar RNA, 102 nt
Organism: Mesocricetus auratus (golden hamster)
Lineage: Eukaryota; Metazoa; Chordata; Mammalia; Rodentia; Cricetidae
Source: Ensembl
GGGCUCCUUGUGCUUACCACAGGCUAUGUUGUUACACUGACUGUAUAGAAAGAGGAGGCCGACUAAGCAGAUUGAGAUCUUCUGAAUGUAUCAUUGAAAGGG